This 323-nucleotide unclassified non-coding RNA is filed under the name soil metagenome. Its description in RNAcentral is "partial contains 5.8S ribosomal RNA, internal transcribed spacer 2, and large subunit ribosomal RNA". The stretch from base 1 to 120 matches the Rfam family "5.8S ribosomal RNA", at positions 35 to 154 of the family's 154-position model. The record is from RNAcentral.
GAUGAAGAACGUAGCGAAAUGCGAUAAGUAAUGCGAAUUGCAGAAUUCAGUGAAUCAUCGAAUCUUUGAACGCACAUUGCGCCCCUUGGUAUUCCAUGGGGCAUGCCUGUUCGAGCGUCAUUUGUACCUUCAAGCUUUGCUUGGUGUUGGGUGUUUGUCCUGAGGGACUCGCCUUAAAGUAAUUGGCAGCCAGUGUUUGGUUUUGAAGCGCAGCACAAGUCGCGAUUCAAAGCUAUACGCCCGCUUCCACAAGCCUUUUUCACUUUUGACCUCGGAUCAGGUAGGGAUACCCGCUGAACUUAAGCAUAUCAAUAAGCGGAGGA